UCGGGGAAGCCUUUCGGGGCAGGAAGACAGGUGGUGCAUGGUUGUCGUCAGCUCAUGUCGUGAGAUGUUGGGUUAAGUCCCGCAACGAGCGCAACCCUUAUUGUUAGUUGCUACCAUUUAGUUGAGCACUCUAGCGAGACUGCCCGGGUUAACCGGGAGGAAGGUGGGGAUGACGCCAAAUCAUCAUGCCCCUUAUGUCUAGGGCUACACACGUGCUACAACGGCUGGUACAGAGAGAUGCUAAACCGCGAGGUGGAGCCAAACUUUAAAACCAGUCUCAGUUCGGAUUGUAGGCCGAAACUCGCCUACAUGAAGCUGGAGUUGCUAGUAAUCGCGAAUCAGAAUGUCGCGGUGAAUACGUUCCCGGGCCU
Molecule: ribosomal RNA, 371 nt
Filed under: uncultured bacterium
Lineage: Bacteria
Description: bacterial SSU rRNA
Rfam family: Bacterial small subunit ribosomal RNA
Source: RNAcentral